CACCUUUUGGCUGUUGUAAGGCUUUACAAAUAAAAUUUGAUUGAUUGAUUGAUUGAUUGACAUAAUGAACUCUACCAAUGUCCCACAGUGAAAUUAUUAUGGCUUGCAGCAGUGGGUGUGGCUUCUGGAGUGGGCGUGUUCCUGGUGGGAUUGACAGUUGUCUGUCUCCGUAGGAAGACAAAGACGAAGGUAUAUUUAGUAAUAAACAGCCUAAUUUGUUUUACAGAAAGAAACAAAUCUCAGAGACCUCAAGCCCAACAGGAUGAUCAUAUCCAACAAAUUUUGAUGGAAACCAUGUGGAGUGGUGACAGGCAGUGUUCUGUCAGCCCCUCUGUACUGUCUACAUUCAUGCCCUCAGAUGGGUCCAUUCCAAAAAUCUCAAGUAACAAUAUGUUUUCAGUCAUCAAACUACUUUCGCCCACUCUCGAAAAUGAACAGGAUUUCACUUCCAUAUAUAGCCUUGGAAAAUAUGAAGAGACCCCUCCACCUUUUUGACAUUGUGGAGAACGUUUUAACACCGCGACGGAAAUGUGUGUAGGUCAAGGCUUUGAACGCAUGCACCGAAGAUCGAUGUUCACGUGGCUUCUGAGAAAUAUCUGCGUGUGAUAUAUUUGUUGAGUAAUAAUGCUGUGUAUUUAGAUUGUAUUUCUCAAUUUUUUACAUAUUUUCUAACUUUUGUGUAACUUUUCUGAAUU
Long non-coding RNA from Esox lucius (northern pike), 695 nucleotides. RefSeq lists it as uncharacterized. NCBI's taxonomy places the organism in Eukaryota, Metazoa, Chordata, Actinopteri, Esociformes, Esocidae. The record is from RefSeq and is a predicted model, not a curated record. The transcript has 5 exons.